AGGAUAGUAUAGUGGCAUAUAGCUGUAGAGUAGUUUAGCUUUCCUUUACUAUUUCUGUUUAUUCCUGUAGACUUAGUGGGUGGACCGAUGUGUUGAGGGCGGUACCCACUGAGGACUACUUGUUUUACAGUAGUUCUCACGCCCUGUUGUUACAUCUUUUUGCAGAGCCAUCGUCUUCGGUUGCUGCUAUUGCUGAUCAGGAUCGAGGUAAGGGCGUCGCGAGUUAGAGCCCUACCCGACGAGCCGAGCUAGAGGUGCCCUACUGCAGGUAGUUGUUUUGUUAGAGUUCAUGUACAUAUCUAUCUUUAACUCGCCAGUGCGAGUAGUUUUGUAUCUUGGAUUUUGGCGUAUGCAUAUGGAACUCAGUUUGGUUUUCUUCUGAUUCUUCUAGCAGCUCUAUACUACUGUUUGUAGUAUUGUAUGAUUUACAGGUACAGCUAUCGCUUCGUAUACAGGGAAAAUUCCUUUGUACAUGGCGGAUUUGUCGGCGCGCCCGAGGAACGAGUAAUUCGGGGCGUGAUAUAUUAAGUUGGUAUCAGAGCUUAGUUGUAGGUCGUUGGGACCUAGAAACCCUAAGUUUGGCAAACCUUAGGAAGGCAAGACGCGAAAGGCGUGAUUUAUCGCGAAAGUCAACGAUUUGUUGUUCUAACUUCUCGAGUGGAGUGAGUGAUUGGAGGAGUUACUGUUUUGUCCUGAAAAAUUAUGUUGGCUGCAAACGACAUAAUUUUGAGGAGAGACAUGGGCUCCCUUCUAGACUUUUUUUUGAUUGGGUCGAGAGUGUUUUGUUGUAUCUGACCCAUGUUUUGUUCAUUACAGCUAUGUAUCAUCGUCGAGGUCAACCGUCGUUACGGGAGCGUGCCCAGUUGUCGCAAGAUCGUGCGGGACCUUCCGAGAUGCCUGAGCAAGCAGAGGCGAGUGCACCCCCAGUUGUAGAGCAGAGGGCCCGACAGGAGGCGAGUACAUUCCCGGAUUUGAGUGCAUAGUUAGCCGCCCUGACAGAGGUGACGACGCUGCAGGGGGAGUUGUUGGAGAGGAUGUGCGAGAGGUUAGCUUCGCCCCAGAGUUCAGCACCGAGGGCACCAGAGUCGUCUGUUCCCCAUCCGACUACUCCAGUGGUAGCACCAAUUGUAGCAGUACCUCCGCCAGUAGCCGUUCCAGUAGCGCCAGUUGCGCUUGCUAGGGGGCCAGUACCGUUGACUGAGGCCGAGCAGGAGCGGUGGACGGAGAGGUUGGCUCGUUUUCGCCGUUUUGAUCUACCGAUUUUCGAUGGUAGUUGCAUUGAGGCCUGCGUUGUUGAGGGAUGGGUCAGUGCGAUGGAGAAGUUAUUUGAGGAUCUGUUCAUUCCUGAGGGAGAGCAGGUGUCUUUGGGAGUCCAUUGCUUGGCAGGUAAUGCCCACGCCUGGUGGAGGAGGGUGAGGAGAGAGUAAGGACUGGUAGCGUUGCAGCUUAGAUGGGAUGAGUUCUGUGGAAUGCUGUUUGGGAUGUUCUUUCCCAGCAGUGUGAAACAGAAGCUCGAGGAGGAUUUGAGGAGGCUUCAGCAGGGAGAUCGCUCAGUGCAGGAGUACGUUCGGGAGUUUACUCGACUCCUGAACUGUGUGCCAUUUGUGGCCAGGGAUGAGGCGCACAGGGUCUAUUUGUUUGAGCAGGGGAUGAGACCCGACAUCUUCAGGUUGGCGUGGAUGCAGAGGUCGAAGACUUUGGAUGCGUCCAUAGAGAAGGCCUUGUGGGUGGAGAGAGGUGAGGUGUCACUACAAGAGAGGACUCCGGCCGUGGGGUAGAGUCAGGACAGAAAGCGCCCCUUUUCGGAUGAUACUGGACAGUCGAGUAGCAGGAGUCUGCUGAGGCCUCCACGAUCACCCUCUCAGGGUCGUGGGUCUUCAGGGCGUCAGCGUUUCGGGGGAUCCCGUCAGCAGGGGCAGACUCAGAGGACAUCGCAGUGUGUGAUCUGCGGGGGGCCACACUGGCCCAGGCACUGCGAGCAGAGAGAGGGCCGUUGCUACUCUUGCGGUCAGCCCCGGCAUAUGAGGUCAGCUUGCCCCCGUGCAGCAUCACCAGCGCCGUCCACUGCAUCAGCGCAGCCGGCAUCUCAGCCGUCCUUUGGAGCAGCACCGAGUUUCCGCCAGGAGGAUAGAUUGUCUAUGCCGCGUCAGGGCGAGCGACGACAGCAGGCUCCGAGUGGCAGAGUUUACGCAGCUCAGGUGGAGGAUUCUGCAGCAGCCGACCGAGUGGUGGCAGGUAUCAUUUUGAUUUCAGGCAUUCGUACUCGCACUCUUUUUGAUACCGGUGCCACACAUUCUUUUGUUAGCCGAGCAUUUGCAUUGUUGCAUGAUCUAGAGUUAGGGUCAUUGUCACAGGCACGAGAGGUGCAGAUCCUUGACCAUGUCUUGCAGGUUACAGAGUGUUGUUGGUCCUGUCCGGUGCAGUUAGACUCUUGGAUCAUGCCCGCAGACCUGUUGGUGUUAGGGCAGCUGCAGGACUUCGACGUAGUGCUCGGUAUGGAUUGGCUAGCGCGGUACUACGCUACUAUCGACUGUGGAGCGAGGAUUGUGACGUUCCGUGAGCCAGGCCAGGAGGAGUUCACCUUUAGAGGCUGUAGGAGUACUUUGUUUGCCACUUGGAUAUCUUCGGCAAGGGCUCGACAGCUGAUGAGUAGGGGAUGUGUUGCUUUUCUAGCGACUGUGACAGAGGUGCAUACGGCGGCGCCGGGACUCGAGGAUAUCUCUAUAGUCCGCGAGUUUCCGGACGUAUUUUCCUCGGAGUUGACGACAAUGCCGCCGGAGAGAGAGAUAGAGUUUGUGAUUGAUGUAGUUCCUGGAACUGCACCAAUUUCAAAGGCACCUUACAGGAUGGCACCGGCAGAGCUAAGAGAGCUAAAGGCGCAGCUUCAGGAUUUGAUGGAUAAGGGGUUUGUGAGACCCAGUGUGUUGCCUUGGGGAGCGCCGGUAUUGUUUGUAAAGAUGAAGGAUGGUUCGCUCAGGUUGUGUGUUGAUUACCAGGAGCUGAAUAAGGUGACCAUCAAGAAUAAGUAUCCUUUGUCGCGCAUUAAUGAUCUGUUUGAUCAGCUGCAAGGAUCUUAUGUCUUCUCGAAGAUUGACCACCAGUAAGGUUACCACCAGUUGAGGGUGAGGGCCGAGGAUGUUCCCAAGACGGCUUUUCGGACUCGGUACGGGCAUUAUGAGUUUACGGUGAUGCCGUUUGGAUUGACGAAUGCCCCUGCCGCAUUCAUGGAUUUGAUGAACAGUGUGUUCAAACCGUUUUUGGACAGGUUUGUGGUAGUCUUCAUUGAUGAUAUUUUGAUAUACUCCCGGAGCGAUGCCGAGCAUGAGGAGCACUUGAGGACUGUGCUACAGCUUCUGCGAGAGAAGAAGUUGUACGCCAAGUUAAAGAAGUGCGAGUUCUGAUUGCGGGAGGUUGCUUUCUUGGGCCACGUGAUAUCAGCAAAGGGAGUAGCAGUUGACUCGAAGAAGAUUGAUGCUAUUCGGGAUUGGCCCAAACCGACGACGGUGACCGAGGUGAGGAGUUUCCUUGGGCUUGCUGGAUAUUACCGUCGGUUUGUGGAAGGCUUUGCGAAGCUUUUCACACCCCUCACUCGUUUGACGCGAAAGGGGAUUAGAUUCAUCUGGAGUGAGGAUUGUCAGAGGAGUUUUGAUGAGUUGAGACAGAGGUUGACGUCAGCUCCUAUCCUUGCUCUUCCUGUGAUGGGGGAAGGAUUCGUGAUAUACAGUGAUGCGUCGCACAGUGGACUGGGUUGUGUGCUGAUGCAGCAUGGUAGAGUAAUUGCUUAUGCUUCCGGUAGUUAAAGAAUUAUGGGAAGAAUUACCCUACGCAUGACUUGGAGCUCGCCGCGGUAGUCUUUGCGUUAAAGUUGUGGCGGCAUUAUUUGUACGGCGAGCACUGCGAGGUUUUUACUAAUCAUAAAAGUCUCAAGUAUCUGUUCACCCAAAAGGAGUUGAAUUUGAGACAGUGCCGGUGGUUGGAGUUGCUGAAGGACUAUGAUAUUAGUAUUCAGUAUCAUCCCGGCAAGGCAAAUGUGGUGGCAGAUGCGUUGAGCAGGAAGGCAGUGCAGAGCUUGAGCAUGUUGAUCACUCGGCUAUGACCGUUACUCGAGAAGCUGCGGCGGCUGGGACUCGAGGUAGUGUCCCCUGGAUUUACUGCGAGACUAAUGUCUAUGAUCUUACAACCCACUCUGUUGGAUAGGAUUCGAGAGAAACAGAGUGGAGAUCUACACUUGUCAAAGAUUCGAGAGCAGCUUGAGAGAGGACAGGCCGAGGGCCUUGUUGUGGACAGUUCGGAAGUACUGCGGUAUAGGGACCGACUGUGUGUACCUAUGGAUUCAGAGAUCCGAGAGGACAUUUUGAGAGAGGCUCACUGUUCACCUUAUACGGUUCACCCCGGUGGAACCAAGAUGUAUAAGGAUUUAAAGGCUCAGCUUUGGUGGAAUGGAAUGAAGAGGGACAUUGGCAGAUUUGUGGCCCAGUGUCUGACUUGUCAACAGGUAAAGGCCGAGCAUCAGGUACCUGCUGGCAAGCUUCAGAGUCUGCCAGUGCCCGAGUGAAAAUGAGAGCAGAUCACGAUAGACUUUGUCGUCGGAUUGCCGAGAGCACAGAGUGGUUUUGAUGCGAUUUGGGUGAUAGUGGACAGACUGACCAAGUCUGCUCACUUUCUACCAGUGCAGACCACUUAGUCCAGAGAGAGACUCGCUCAGUUGUACUUAGGUGAGAUAGUGAGGUUGCAUGGCGUGCCCACUUCGAUAGUAUCCGACCGGGACCCGAGGUUUGUCUCGCACUUUUGGAGGAGUCUUCAGACGGCCUUGGGCACUCAGUUGCAGUUCAGCACAGCAUUUCACUCACAGACAGAUGGUCAGUCAGAGCGGACCAUUCAGACUCUAGAGGACAUGCUGAGGGCAUGUGUCCUGGACUUUGGAGGAGGGUGGUAUCGGCAUUUGAGACUGGUUGAGUUUGCGUACAACAACAGCUAUCAAGCGAGCAUCCAUAUGGCUCCGUUUGAGGCGUUGUAUGGACGCAGAUGUCGAUCCCCUUUGUUUUGGAGUGAUGUGGGUGAGAGGAGAAUUCUUGGGCCUGAGAUUCUGAUUGAGGCUAAGGAAAAGGUAAAAGAGGCGCGACGACACAUAUUAGCAGCCCAGAGUCGACAGAGGAGCUAUGCUGAUACCCGGAGACGAGACUUGGAGUUCCAGGUGGGAGAUCAUGUUUUUCUUAAAGUCUCGCCGUCCAGAGGGAUUCGCCGAUUUGGAGUACGUGGAAAGCUCAGUCCACGUUUUGUAGGCCCUUUCGAGAUAUUGGAGCGAGUCGGGCCAGUUGCUUACAGGAUUGCUCUACCACCACGACUAGCCGGCAUUCACGAUAUUUUCCACAUCUCGACUUUAAGGAAAUAUGUGUUCGACCCCUCCCACGUAAUUGACUUUACUCCGCUGGAGAUUUGCGAGGACCUAAGUUACGAGGAGCGACCGGUGCGGAUUCUGGCUCGUGAGUCGAGGGAACUGCGCAACCGGAUCAUACCCUUUGUAAAGGUGCAGUGGAGUAAUCACGAGGAGCGGGAGGCGACAUGGGAGCCGGAGACGGUGAUAAAAGAGUCUUACCCCUACCUAUUUGAGGCUCUAGAUUGAGGUAUGUUUUCAGUUUCGCGGACAAAACUUUUUGUAGUAGGGGAGGAUGUAGUGUUUCUGAGCUUUGGAUAGGAUUGGCUUCAGUAUUAGUGACUGGUCGACAUCUCUGGAGAGUGUCGGAUUGAGUCGGAGUCAAUUCUGCACGAAUUGAAUGCAGAAUUGGACUCGGCGCACUCAAAUAAGCAAAACUGGAGUUUUGCCAGAUUCGGGCGCCCAGAACAUGAUUUAGGUCGCUUAGAACUGAGUGUUGAAUUUAACUGAAACUGGAAGCCAAUUCGGAUCCUAUGUUCCGGGCGCCCAGAAGUGGGUCCGGAAAUUCUACAUCGUGAAUAUCGUUUGCUUCGACGCGUGGCAAGGUGGUAGGUGAGUUCCGCCGGAGCCAUUUACGGGCGCAGCAUACCCCGAGCGGAGAGUCCGAGGAGUAGGAUUUGUGCAGCCUGGAUGUUUCGGUCGCCCAGUACAUGGUUCCGGGCGCCCAGAAACGCCCGUUUCUACAGGGACACCAGAUUACAACUGCUUCUCUUGGGGCUUAUUUUAUCCUCCUAGCAGCCUAUAAAUAGAUGGAAGGUGACCCUGGUAAGCUCUUUUCACUCCUCCUUCGCAGUGAACCUUUGGAUUUCAUCUUCCACCCUCGAAUUUUCAUAAAUUGCUUCAAAUCUUCAACUCCAAGCUUGAUAGGUGCUGAAUUCUGCAGUUCUUCAGCGACAACCUCCAGUGUUUUGGUUCAUGCGCGACGUAGGGAUAUCGGAUUUCGACGAAACUUGGUUUGCUGGAUUCUAAACUUCCUAAGAAAUCCACGAAGCCCUGACUUGCAGAAUUUGGUGAAGGUUAGCUUAGUCGAACUCAGAUUUUUUCUUUACUGUUGAUGCUAUGGACAGAAUUGCAAGUUUAUUUAAGUUUCUUGGGGUGAACUUUGGAAGCAGGAGCUUUGUGGAGUUGAGACACAUUCCCUAUCAAUCAGUACUGGAUUUGAGACCGUCUUUACCUGAUUUGGAGAUCGUUAGGUGAGUUUUGACAUUGGAGUUGUGAUAAUUAAGCUUAAGUGCUGAAAUUUUUGGUAAAUUAAUGGUUUCGUCGGAUUUUUGGGUAUAGAUCCUUCGAGUAGCUUUGUUGCUGGUUGUGGGUGUUCUCAGCUAAGACUUCCAGCAUUUCGUGACCAUCUUGCUGCCAAGGAAUUGCACUAGAGGUGGGUGUAUCAUCGGUUUUCACUCCUAAGUGCAUGUUUAGUCGACGUGUAUAGUUUCGGUUCUUGUAUAUCAUACUUAAAUUCAUCGAUUAGCAUCUUGACUGCAAUAUGAAUGUAGAAGCAUGCUCAAAUGAAUAUUUAUAUUAUACAUGUUGGACUUGGAAUUUGACUUAGAAUAAAACCUGCAUUUUGACCCGUCAUAUGCUUGAACUACCAGAUUUAGCUCUAGGAGCCGUGAUUCAAUUGUAUCGUUGCAGUAUCAGUGCGAUGGAUACCUGGGGUAGUUUAGAAAGCAUUUACGCUCGUGCUGGGGUCCCGAGCUUAUUUUCAGCUGAAUCUAGGCUGUUUCGGGUUGUUGGGUGCCGUCCGAGUUGGCGGUGGACCCAGAUUCUUGUUUUGGUCCCAGAUUGUGCCGAGGGCACAUGGGUUUCGUUUGUAGACCUGUUUUGACCCUGUUUACAUGACUUUACUAGUUGGAGCCUGAUUGAGCUCGACAGAGAUACGCUGCAUACUCGGUUGGGUAGCUCCCACGAGUGCCACUCCGGAGGCGGGCGCUGUGCUUUUGCAUUGGUGUCCUGCAUGUCAGUUAGGCUUGCUCUCCACGGACUGAUUAGUGUGGAGGUAGCUGGAUAGUCUCAACUGAGCGGGACGGGUGUAUUCACAGUCCCAGGGACGGGUAUGCUUACAGUCCCCGUGAGAUUGGGACGGUGUUGACAUUUACUACAGAUGGUUUGUUUAGAACAGGAUAGUAUAGUGGCAUAUAGCUGUAGAGUAGUUCAGCUUUCCUUUACUAUUUCUGUUUAUUCCUGUAGACUUAGUGGGUGGACCGAUGUGUUGAGGGCGGUACCCACUGAGGACUACUUGUUUUACAGUAGUUCUCACGUCCUGUUGUUAUAUCUUUUUGCAGAGCCAUCGUCUUCGGCUGCUGCUGUUGCUGAUCAGGAUCGAGGCAAGGGCGUCGCAAGUUAGAGCCCUACCCGACGAGCCGAGCUAGAGGUGCCCUACUGCAGGUAGUUGUUUUGUUGGAGUUCAUGUACAUAUCUAUCUUUAACUCGCCAGUGCGAGUAGUUUUGUAUCUUAGAUUUUGGCGCAUGCAUAUGGAACUCAGUUUGGUUUUCUUCUGAUUCUUCUAGCAGCUCUAUACUACUGUUUGUAGUAUUGUA
This 7972-nucleotide long non-coding RNA is filed under the name Ananas comosus (pineapple). Its description in RNAcentral is "long non-coding RNA (ACOM_LNC025926)". Lineage: Eukaryota; Viridiplantae; Streptophyta; Magnoliopsida; Poales; Bromeliaceae. The record is from RNAcentral.